AGCGUAGGCGGGAUGGCAAGUCAGAUGUGAAACCUGAGGGCUCAACCUUCAGACUGCAUUUGAAACUGCUGUUCUUGAGUGAAGUAGAGGUAAGCGGAAUUCCUGGUGUAGCGGUGAAAUGCGUAGAGAUCAGGAGGAACAUCGGUGGCGAAGGCGGCUUACUGGGCUUUUACUGACGCUGAGGCUCGAAAGCGUGGGGAGCAAACAGGAUUAGAUACCCCCGUA
Molecule: ribosomal RNA, 225 nt
Filed under: uncultured Ruminococcus sp.
Lineage: Bacteria; Bacillati; Bacillota; Clostridia; Eubacteriales; Oscillospiraceae
Description: partial 16S ribosomal RNA
Rfam family: Bacterial small subunit ribosomal RNA
Source: RNAcentral